UUUUCGGGCGUUAGCUCAGUAAAACUGCGUAGUUUCUGAAGUUAAGGUGUACGCACUUGAGUAGAAAUGGGAAGAAAGAAAAAGUGUUUUGCACCAGGGUGCAUGUCUUCCAGUGACCACACUGGAAUGAAAUUCUUCCAUUUUACCAGGAAUUCAGCACGGUAUGAGCCAGAUCUGAAAUAUUUUUAUAAAACAUACUGUAAUAUUUUGGCCAGUGUUAUUAAAGAAGCUAAAAAUCUUCAUUAUAAUCAAUCAAUUUCUAAUUCUAGUAAUAAAAUGAAAACCACUUGGACAUUAUAAAAUCAGACACAGGUAGAAAAAUUAAUAAUGCAGGUAUACAGUUUUUAAACAUUGAUGGGAAGUUAACUGAUAAUCAUGAUGUUAUUACAGAUUCUCUUAAUAAUUAUUUUCGAACAAUAGCUGGACAACAUCAAUACCAAUAAUGUUCAUCGACAUUUUCUAUGAUUUGAAGAAAACCUUUGACUGUGUCAAUAUCUGUCUAUCUCUCUGUCUAAAGUAGAAUUUUAUGGAAUAGUUGGUAAGGCCAAUGCAUUGAUAAAAUCCUAUGUGAAAGAUAGGUACUAAAGGGUAAGUCUAUUUUACUCAUUAGAGGAAUAAUUUAACUCUAAUAUUAAUUAAUGAUCUUGGUCUGUUAUAUGCUGGAUGCCUAGUAGUAUACUUUUAUGUUUCAUUAUUAUAGUCUUGUGUCAUAGUGUGCUGCAUUCUUUCACAUAUAUAUUUUAAAACUGUGUUAAUGAUUUACUUACUGUGAUUUGUCUUUGAUAAUAUGUGUAAUUGUUAUGGGUUAAAUAUAAAAAUUUGUAUUUAUA
This is a long non-coding RNA of Cryptotermes secundus, 830 nucleotides long. RefSeq lists it as uncharacterized. NCBI's taxonomy places the organism in Eukaryota, Metazoa, Arthropoda, Insecta, Blattodea, Kalotermitidae. The transcript has 2 exons. The record is from RefSeq and is a predicted model, not a curated record.